AACCUUAUGGACCUGCGGGCGUAUACCUGCGGAAGGAUCAUUAUUGAAUAAACUUGGUCAAGCUGUUGCUGGUCCUUCGGGGCAUGUGCACGCUUGCCACCAAUUUUGACCACCUGUGCACCUUUUGUAGAUUGGAAACGUUUCUCGAGGCAACUCGGAUUGAGGACUGCUGUGCGCAAGCCAGCUGUUCUUGUGUUUCUCAAUCUAUGUUUUCAUAUACUCCUAAUGUAUGUAUCAGAA
This 240-nucleotide unclassified non-coding RNA is filed under the name soil metagenome. RNAcentral's name for it is "partial contains 5.8S ribosomal RNA, internal transcribed spacer 2, and large subunit ribosomal RNA". The record is from RNAcentral.